Molecule: long non-coding RNA, 272 nt
Filed under: Setaria italica (foxtail millet)
Lineage: Eukaryota; Viridiplantae; Streptophyta; Magnoliopsida; Poales; Poaceae
Description: long non-coding RNA (SITA_LNC001498)
Source: RNAcentral
GGUGAGCCGCCGAUGUAGCGUGGCCCAACGUGGGUGGGGAUCUCCUCUGCCACCUCCAUAAGCUCCAACCGACUAGUGAGAAGCUCUCGUUUGUGGAUACGUGAAUGAUUCGUUUGUGAGUGAUCCAAUAGUGUAUGAUUUGUUUGUGAAUGAUUCAUUCAAUUGAACUCAUGUGUUGUCUCUGUGGUGGAGUUGGAGCUCGAGGAGGUGGUGGUUGUGAGUGAUCCAAUAGUGUAUAAUUUGUUUGUGAAUGAUUCGUUUAUGAUUGUGUU